UUCGGUCACAUCACGUUGAAACACCGGUUCCCAUACGAUCACCGAAGUUAAGCAACGUCGAGCCUGGUCGGUACCUAGACGGGUGGCCAAUUCGGAAUACUAGGUGCUGUAAG
Acanthosepion pharaonis is the source of this 113-nucleotide non-coding RNA. The record is from the annotation of a GenBank genome assembly. NCBI's taxonomy places the organism in Eukaryota, Metazoa, Mollusca, Cephalopoda, Sepiida, Sepiidae.